CUAUAGUUCAGUCGGUUAGAGCGUCAGAUUGUGGUUCUGAAUGUCGUGGGUUCGAGUCCCAUCAG
This 65-nucleotide transfer RNA is filed under the name Phocaeicola vulgatus. It matches the Rfam family "tRNA", at positions 8 to 63 of the family's 71-position model. Rfam says of the family: Transfer RNA (tRNA) molecules are approximately 80 nucleotides in length. Their secondary structure includes four short double-helical elements and three loops (D, anti-codon, and T loops). The record is from RNAcentral. Lineage: Bacteria; Pseudomonadati; Bacteroidota; Bacteroidia; Bacteroidales; Bacteroidaceae.